GACGAACGCUGGCGGCGUGCUUAACACAUGCAAGUCGAACGAAGUGGCGAACGGGUGAGUAACGCGUAAUCAACCUGCACUUCAGAGGGUCACAACAGUUGGAAACGACUGCUAAUACCGCAUACUGUAGGAUGGGAUUGCGUCUGAUUAGCUCGUUGGAGGGGUAACGGCCCACCAAGGAGAUGAGCAGUAGCCGGUCUGAGAGGAUGAACGGCCACAUUGGGACUGAGACACGGCCCAGACUCCUACGGGAGGCAGCAGUGGGGAAGCUUCCGCAAUGGACGAAAGUCUGACGGAGCAACGCGGCGUGAGUGAUGACGGCCUUCGGGUUGUAAAGCUCUGUUAAUCGGGACGCGGUACCGGAAUAGAAAGCCACGGCUAACUACGUGCCAGCAGCCGCGGUAAUAC
RNAcentral lists this ribosomal RNA (408 nucleotides) under uncultured bacterium. RNAcentral describes it as "partial 16S ribosomal RNA". It matches the Rfam family "Bacterial small subunit ribosomal RNA", at positions 28 to 526 of the family's 1533-position model. The record is from RNAcentral.